This 1003-nucleotide ribosomal RNA is filed under the name uncultured bacterium. RNAcentral describes it as "bacterial SSU rRNA". It matches the Rfam family "Bacterial small subunit ribosomal RNA", at positions 70 to 1067 of the family's 1533-position model. The record is from RNAcentral.
UAACAUGAGGUGCUUGCACUUUGAUGACGAGUGGCGCACGGGUGCGUAACGCGUAUAGAACCUACCCUGUACAGGGGGAUAGCCCAGAGAAAUUUGGAUUAAUACCCCGUGGUAACUAUAAAUGGCAUCAUUUAUAGUUUAAAGUUUUCGGACGGUACAGGAUGGCUAUGCGUCCUAUUAGUUAGAUGGUGAGGUAACGGCUCACCAUGGCAUCGAUAGGUAGGGGCCCUGAGAGGGGGAUCCCCCACACUGGUACUGAGACACGGACCAGACUCCUACGGGAGGCAGCAGUGAGGAAUAUUGGACAAUGGGCGUAAGCCUGAUCCAGCCAUGCCGCGUGCAGGAAGACGGCCCUAUGGGUUGUAAACUGCUUUUAUACGGGAAGAAUAAGGGACACGUGUGUCCUGGUGACGGUACCGUAAGAAUAAGGACCGGCUAACUCCGUGCCAGCAGCCGCGGUAAUACGGAGGGUCCGAGCGUUAUCCGGAAUUAUUGGGUUUAAAGGGUCCGCAGGCGGGCAAUUAAGUCAGGGGUGAAAUGGUGCGGCUCAACCGUAGCACUGCCCUUGAUACUGGUUGUCUUGAGUCAUAGUGAAGUGGCCGGAAUAUGUAGUGUAGCGGUGAAAUGCAUAGAUAUUACAUAGAACACCGAUUGCGAAGGCAGGUCACUAACUAUCGACUGACGCUGAUGGACGAAAGCGUGGGGAGCGAACGGGAUUAGAUACCCCGGUAGUCCACGCCGUAAACGAUGGAUACUAGCUGUCCGCUGCCUUGAGCAGUGGGGCGGCCCAGCGAAAGUGAUAAGUAUCCCACCUGGGGAGUACGUUCGCAAGAUGAAACUCAAAGGAAUUGACGGGGGCCCGCACAAGCGGUGGAGCAUGUGGUUUAAUUCGAUGAUACGCGAGGAACCUUACCAGGGCUUAAAUGCAUAAUGACAGGUCUAGAGAUAGACUUUUCUUCGGACAUUUUGCAAGGUGCUGCAUGGUUGUCCUCAGCUCGUGCCG